UACGUAGGGGGCGAGCGUUGUCCGGAGUUACUGGGCGUAAAGGGCACGCAGGCGGUGCUGCGCGUUUCGCGUGACAGCGGGUGGCUUAACUACCCGAGAGUGCGAAAGACGGCGGGGCUGGAGGGCCAGAGAGGGACACGGAAUUCCGGGUGGAGUGGUGAAAUGCGUAGAGAUCCGGAGGAACACCGAAGGCGAAGGCAGUGUCCUGGCUGGUAUCUGACGCUGAGGUGCGAAAGCCAGGGGAGCGAAC
Molecule: ribosomal RNA, 250 nt
Filed under: uncultured bacterium
Lineage: Bacteria
Description: partial 16S ribosomal RNA
Rfam family: Bacterial small subunit ribosomal RNA
Source: RNAcentral